Long non-coding RNA from Brienomyrus brachyistius, 3806 nucleotides. RefSeq lists it as uncharacterized. The transcript is spliced from 3 exons. Lineage: Eukaryota; Metazoa; Chordata; Actinopteri; Osteoglossiformes; Mormyridae. The record is from RefSeq and is a predicted model, not a curated record.
GAUUUGUGGCUAAUUGUUCCGCUUCCAUAACGCAUAGUUUCAUACACGGGCCGUUGUAAGCGCGGGAGAAUGGAUGGCAGUCAGUCCAAAAACAUGAGCUUGUACCAGUGGAAUAGUCCCACAGUACCGAGGGGAUAUUUCCAUUCUGCCGGAGUCUCUCAGGUGUCGGACGCAAAGCCUGAACGGCCAUCAGCUUCUUUCAAACACACAGGGUGAGGGUGAGCCUGCAGCCUACCCCAGGAAGGACAGGAUGUGAGGCAGGGCACCUCCUGAGUGGGACACAUAUCACUGCGAACAUAGGAAUCAAUAAUACAGGCAUUCCAAGCACCCCGAUGCUGAGAUAUACCGGCAUUAUUCAUAAAUGCUCAAGUAAUGAAAUCCCCGGCCAGUACGCAACCUCUGCAUGUCAAGCAAACAAGGAUUGAGUCCAGGGACGCCAGAGUUUGCAUGCGGCACCAUAUUAUCGCUCUGCUAUUCUUUCGGUAUCUCGCCUUACAGUCGAGGUCUAAGGGGGCGGCUGGUUCUCCUGCCCCGGCUCUUCAGCCACAGAGGUGAGGCUGGCUGACCUCAGCAUACCGGCUAGAGAUCACUCAGUAGGUCACACUGCGCCCCCGGUCAUUUUACCCAGAUCCUUUAGUCCCAGUUUGAAGCUCCUUACUGGUAACAUUUUUCUGAGAACCUGGAAAGCGUCUCCUAACUAGGUCACAUUUAAGUAAGACAAAUUAAAUAUCAGUCCUAAGUUUGUGGGCUGAACUGUUGUUAACGACAACUGAAAGUUGAACAUAACAGUUUUAAAUCGACUCCAAAACAGCUUUGUGUGUUUUGAGAGAAUAAAUUACUUAAGGGACGUUUCUGGAAGCGACAUCUAUGGUGGUAAAGUACUGGCAAGACCCCCAGACACUGUUAACAAGAAGUUUCAGAUUCUCCCAGGAUCAGUUUGCAAAUUAACAUACUGGGGCUCACCAGAGGACGCACUGUGUGUACUCUGGCAUUUGUGCCUGUAUUUUAUCCUCCACCGUUUAUCUGUCUCUGCGUUUCAGAAUUUCAGUGUCAUACGAAACAUAGAUGACUGUGCAGUGACUGAAAACCCCGGGUCUCAUAAGCUGACAUCGGAAAUGCAGCCAAAACACAGUAACUCCAGACUGGGACGUAAUUGUAUUAUGUUUGUGCCUGGUUCCUCAGGGUCUACCAGCUGAAAGGUGAAGUGAGUUUGCCUAUCAGCAAACACAAUAUAGAUAAAUUACUGAACGAGUCAGUGGAUAUAAUUACAACAAAGGCACUAUGCCAGUCACAUGGGCGAGAAUGCGAGGGCGGGUAUCGGGGCCUUACUGAGGCCCAUGCUUGGCAGAGAUCCAUGGUGCUAUUGGGACACUCCACCUCAUCGCUCCUCUCCCAUAUUUUAUAUAAACAGAUUAAAUAUACGCACGGAGAAAGUGAGCAGGCUGGCAUGCCAUUGGUCCUCUCAUCGCCAAGCAACCCUGAGCCAAUCACACUCACCUCCAUGUGUGAUUGUUCUCCAUGUAACAGGAAGGCAGGGAACAAACAUAAAACGCAAGGAUGAUGAUGUGCAUGUAAAACAAAGAACUGCAAGUUAACCUUCACCCCCCCCCCCCCUAAAGCUGGGUUAUGACUCUGGGGAGGGGGGCACUGGACCAUUCAGGUCGUAACGUGCCAGUGCAUAUAUAUGCAAGUAUUAUACAUGCAAACAAUUUACACCUAACAUAAACGAUGAAGACAGGAAUAUACCAGCCUAUGAACGGAUUUCCAUUUUAGCAUCUCUUUAUUUUAUUAGUAAGUGGUGCAAUAGUAAAGACAAACAUAAAAAAAAUCAAGUAAGAAUACCAUUUGCAUAUUAUUAAAUGAAAAUAUUUUAAACUGGUUAGAUCUAGAAUAUAAAUUACAAGUACCAUUUAAAAAUUGCAAUGAGGAAAAUUAUACAUCGCUUUGAAGGUCACUUGUAUAAAAGUUUGUUCCCUUGGUUAGGAAAAAAAAAUCGUAAUGACGAAAAUGAAGACAAAGCAAAGAGAAGCUUUAACAGACACAUUUGUUCGCUGUAUUUAAAACUCGUACGAGGGCAAGGCACAAAAAAUGUCUCGUCAGUCAUAUGCCCAUAAUUACGGUUUAUGCAGUGCGUACGUGUGCAUGGAGCGGCACGAGGCUGUGUCACGCGAUCGCUAUUCAGUACAAUCACUAAACCUUAAUUAUUCAAAUAAGAACGUUAAAUAUCCCUAAACCACUGUCCGAGGGUAACCUCGAAAAGAAAAACGUUUGAAAAAUUAACUCUAUUUUGAAGAAACGUUAAAGGGUACAUUUAUCGGGAAUGAACAGAUGAAAGCAAAAUUAUCAAAGUUCAAAAUGUUUUGUUAAACUCAUAUAAAGUGCACCUUUUCAGGAAAACCAACACUAAAGACAAGUAUUCUAGAACGAAUUGCAUUCAUAACAAGCCGCCUGCUAUGGCUUAGUUUUGUUAAGGAUCUACGCUAUAGCCACACUCCCGGGUAAUGGGAAGGGAAGUGAGAGUAAGAAGAAGCGUGACUUCAAGCAAACCGGCCAGCGGGGCCUCAGGAACCAGGAACUCUGCGGCCAUUUUUAAUUUCAUUUACAACUCACUUUAACUGUACAUUCAUUCCGAUACAUCAGUUUUCUUUUUAAAAAGUGACACAUAACAAUAUAUAGAGGUGACAGGGGAUAGAUUUUAGUUUCACUGCCCACAAAAUUUGAGAAACAGUUAACAAUCGAACGAUGAUUUUAAAGGGUUACACACCAUGGUCAUUAGUGUUACGAUUAGAUCAUUAGGACGAAAGAUGAAAAACAUCAGUUUUACUUAUCUUAGGUUACUGUGUAGCUCUUAACUAUGAUGAGCUAAGCAUCAUUAUUCAGUGAAAGUCAGCCUACCAGAUGGAAUUACCAUGUGUUUAGUGCUAUGGAACUGAAGCACAAACCGUACACGGACCGUCCUGGGGAGGAAGAAAGUCACACUCGAGCCCCCACUGGUAGCUGUAAUUCAGCGAGGGGGUGAAAAAAAGGCCUACACUUGUACGACAAACAUCCCAUUCUCAGUCGUUUGAAGGUAGCAUAAAUGUCUUUCGUGAUCGUCGGACACCCUACAUGUGCUUCCUAUGAACUGAAAUGCAAAGCCCACUGUAAGUCAUACAUUCAACCUUUCAAUAUCAUGCAAAAAAACGUAAAAUUUGGCGGAAGGUCAUUGAAGAAACAGCAAUUUAUUCCGUAAUUAAAAGUAAAAUAUUCUCUGUAGCCACACAUUGUAAUAAAACAAUCAUAGUCGCUUCCAAUCAUUUUCUGAUGUAAAAAUAUAUGAACUAUGCAAGGCGACAGAAAGCUUAUGUUCCUGUUCCUUGAUACAAUAGUGUUAAUUGCACAGCUGUACUGCAAAUUAGUUGCUGCCCCAACAUAUCCAAAGCUUUAAUUAAGGAUCAGCUGUGUUACGAAAGGAUGGUUCUUUAAAGGAUAGUUCUCUUUGUAACCCGACAUACAAUAAAAACCGUCUUAUAAAACGGCCGUAGACCUUCCACCUAGAAACGAUUAUACUUCGAGCAGCUGCUUGGAAGACCUUUCUUUAUUGAAAAAUAAGACUGAAACUCAUAACAAUUGUAACAGUGACUAUAGGAGCGUCUCUGAAAUUAAGAAAUAUAACAUAAAUUUGCUUAUUUGGCUAUUGUCAUCGUAAAACAGCAUGUGGGGGAUUUCAGUAACAGUUACACAACUCAUCCCAGAAGAGAAUGCCUUUCCUGCAUGUUUGUGUAUUGCCAAUAUUACAAAAUAAAGGAUUAAUUUCCUCCUGGUCA